GACAAGUUCACUUUAAAAGCACCAUGCUCUAGCACAGCUACAGGGGAGAGAUGUUCUCUCCUCCUGUCUAUAUUUGGAAAAUGGAUGCAAUACAAUUCCUGGAGUCCUGAGGAGACUUCAGAUGGACAGUGACCACGUUGCCUUUGAUCUUCCACUUCUAGGUUCUCCACAGUGACCUGGCAGUACCAGUGUGGGCUCACCUGUGAGGAUAAGACCGACCUUCUCCCUCUCAGUGCAUCAGUUCAGUUCAUUAAAAUUCCUGCACAGAUGCCGCAUCCCCCAACAAGAUUCCAGAUCAAUUUCACAGAGUACAACUGUGACAGGAAUGAGGUGUGUUGGCCCCAACUUCUGUACCCUCUGAGCCAGUAUUACCAAGGGGAGCCCCGUUCCCAGUGUGUUGCCAAGGGGCUGAUGUUGGUGUCAUUCCUUGUGCUGGCCGUGCUCCUCAGUCAUCCCUGGACCAGAAUAUGCAAAACCUGGUGCUGAGCUCCCAUCUACCACUGAGUCUUCUUAAAGACUCAGACCCUCCCCUCAGUGCUUUCCUGUAGUCCUGCAUGCCUCUCUGAAACUUUUUUUUUUUUGUCUCUUUGAGACAGGGUCUCCAUGUAGCCCCAGCUGUCCUGGAACUCACUAUGUUGACUAGACUGGCAUCUAACUCACAGAUAUUCACCUGCCUCUGCCUCCCAAGUGCAGGGAUCAAAGGCAUGUGCUACCACGCCUGACUCCUCUGAAACAUUUUAAUAAAUGAAAUCUUAUUUUUAUAGUUCUUAUUAAGUGUGUGUGAAUUUAAGCCAUUUAUCUAG
Molecule: long non-coding RNA, 803 nt
Filed under: Nannospalax galili (Upper Galilee mountains blind mole rat)
Lineage: Eukaryota; Metazoa; Chordata; Mammalia; Rodentia; Spalacidae
Description: lncRNA (ENSNGAG00000024439.1)
Source: RNAcentral